GGAAUAUUGGUCAAUGGAGGCAACUCUGAACCAGCCAUGCCGCGUGCAGGAUGACGCAUCUAUGGUGUGUAAACUGCUUUUGUACAGGAAGAAAAAAAGUUACGUGUAAUUUAUUGACGGUACUGUAAGAAUAAGGAUCGGCUAACUCCGUGCCAGCAGCCGCGGUAAUACGGAGGAUCCAAGCGUUAUCCGGAAUCAUUGGGUUUAAAGGGUCCGUAGGCGGGUUAUUAAGUCAGUGGUGAAAGUUUUCGGCUUAACCGAAAAAUUGCCAUUGAUACUGGUAGUCUUGAAUUAUUGUGGAGUAACUAGAAUAUGUAGUGUAGCGGUGAAAUGCUUAGAUAUUACAUGGAAUACCAAUUGCGAAGGUAGGUUACUAACAAUAUACUGACGCUGAUGGACGAAAGCGUGGGUAGCGAACAGGAUUAGAUACCCGUG
This 435-nucleotide ribosomal RNA is filed under the name uncultured Flavobacterium sp. RNAcentral's name for it is "bacterial SSU rRNA". It matches the Rfam family "Bacterial small subunit ribosomal RNA", at positions 358 to 790 of the family's 1533-position model. Lineage: Bacteria; Pseudomonadati; Bacteroidota; Flavobacteriia; Flavobacteriales; Flavobacteriaceae. The record is from RNAcentral.